This 100-nucleotide ribosomal RNA is filed under the name uncultured bacterium. Its description in RNAcentral is "partial 16S small subunit ribosomal RNA". It matches the Rfam family "Bacterial small subunit ribosomal RNA", at positions 335 to 434 of the family's 1533-position model. The record is from RNAcentral.
ACUCCUACGGGAGGCAGCAGUGGGGAAUUUUGCGCAAUGGGGGAAACCCUGACGCAGCAACGCCGCGUGGAGGAUGAAGUCCUUCGGGACGUAAACUCCU